GGGUUGUGAGGUUAAGCGACUAAGCGUACACGGUGGAUGCCCUGGCAGUCAGAGGCGAUGAAGGACGUGCUAAUCUGCGAAAAGCGUCGGUAAGGUGAUAUGAACCGUUAUAACCGGCGAUGUCCGAAUGGGGAAACCCAGUGCAAUUCGUUGCACUAUCGUUAACUGAAUACAUAGGUUAACGAGGCGAACCGGGGGAACUGAAACAUCUAAGUACCCCGAGGAAAAGAAAUCAACCGAGAUUCCCCCAGUAGCGGCGAGCGAACGGGGAGCAGCCCAGAGUCUGAAUCAGCUUGUGUGUUAGUGGAACGGUCUGGAAAGUCCGACGGUACAGGGUGAUAGUCCCGUACACCAAAAUGCACAGGUUGUGAACUCGAAGAGUAGGGCGGGACACGUGGUAUCCUGUCUGAAUAUGGGGGGACCAUCCUCCAAGGCUAAAUACUCCUGACUGACCGAUAGUGAACCAGUACCGUGAGGGAAAGGCGAAAAGAACCCCGGCGAGGGGAGUGAAAAAGAACCUGAAACCGUGUACGUACAAGCAGUGGGAGCACCUUCGGGUGUGACUGCGUACCUUUUGUAUAAUGGGUCAGCGACUUAUAUUCUGUAGCAAGGUUAACCGUAUAGGGGAGCCGCAGGGAAACCGAGUCUUAACUGGGCGUUAAGUUGCAGGGUAUAGACCCGAAACCCGGUGAUCUAGCCAUGGGCAGGUUGAAGGUUGGGUAACACUAACUGGAGGACCGAACCGACUAAUGUUGAAAAAUUAGCGGAUGACUUGUGGCUGGGGGUGAAAGGCCAAUCAAACCGGGAGAUAGCUGGUUCUCCCCGAAAGCUAUUUAGGUAGCGCCUCGUGAACUCAUCUUCGGGGGUAGAGCACUGUUUCGGCUAGGGGGUCAUCCCGACUUACCAACCCGAUGCAAACUACGAAUACCGAAGAAUGUUAUCACGGGAGACACACGGCGGGUGCUAACGUCCGUCGUGAAGAGGGAAACAACCCAGACCGCCAGCUAAGGUCCCAAAGUCAUGGUUAAGUGGGAAACGAUGUGGGAAGGCACAGACAGCCAGGAUGUUGGCUUAGAAGCAGCCAUCAUUUAAAGAAAGCGUAAUAGCUCACUGGUCGAGUCGGCCUGCGCGGAAGAUGUAACGGGGCUAAACCAUGCACCGAAGCUGCGGCAGCGACACUAUGUGUUGUUGGGUAGGGGAGCGUUCUGUAAGCCUGCGAAGGUGACCUGUGAGGGUUGCUGGAGGUAUCAGAAGUGCGAAUGCUGACAUAAGUAACGAUAAAGCGGGUGAAAAGCCCGCUCGCCGGAAGACCAAGGGUUCCUGUCCAACGUUAAUCGGGGCAGGGUGAGUCGACCCCUAAGGCGAGGCCGAAAGGCGUAGUCGAUGGGAAACAGGUUAAUAUUCCUGUACUUGGUGUUACUGCGAAGGGGGGACGGAGAAGGCUAUGUUAGCCGGGCGACGGUUGUCCCGGUUUAAGCAUGUAGGCUGAUUGUCCAGGCAAAUCCGGAUAAUCAAGGCUGAGGUGUGAUGACGAGGCACUACGGUGCUGAAGUAACAAAUGCCCUGCUUCCAGGAAAAGCCUCUAAGCAUCAGGUAACAUCAAAUCGUACCCCAAACCGACACAGGUGGUCAGGUAGAGAAUACCAAGGCGCUUGAGAGAACUCGGGUGAAGGAACUAGGCAAAAUGGUGCCGUAACUUCGGGAGAAGGCACGCUGGUGUGUAGGUGAAG
This 1730-nucleotide ribosomal RNA is filed under the name Klebsiella pneumoniae. RNAcentral describes it as "bacterial LSU rRNA". It matches the Rfam family "Bacterial large subunit ribosomal RNA", at positions 1 to 1767 of the family's 2925-position model. The record is from RNAcentral. Lineage: Bacteria; Pseudomonadati; Pseudomonadota; Gammaproteobacteria; Enterobacterales; Enterobacteriaceae.